Molecule: ribosomal RNA, 234 nt
Filed under: uncultured bacterium
Lineage: Bacteria
Description: partial 16S ribosomal RNA
Rfam family: Bacterial small subunit ribosomal RNA
Source: RNAcentral
UGAGUAACCUGCCCUUAACUCUGGGAUAAGCCUGGGGAAACUGGGUCUAAUACCGGAUAUGACUCCUCAUCGCAUGGUGGGGGGUGGAAAGCUUUAUUGUGGUUUUGGAUGGACUCGCGGCCUAUCAGCUUGUUGGUGAGGUAAUGGCCCACCAAGGCGACGACGGGUAGCCGGCUGAGAGGGUGACCGGCCACACUGGGACUGAGACACGGCCCAGACUCCGUACGGGAGCAG